This 397-nucleotide ribosomal RNA is filed under the name uncultured bacterium. RNAcentral describes it as "partial 16S ribosomal RNA". It matches the Rfam family "Bacterial small subunit ribosomal RNA", at positions 523 to 918 of the family's 1533-position model. The record is from RNAcentral.
AUACGUAGGGGGCGAGCGUUGUCCGGAAUGAUUGGGCGUAAAGGGCGCGUAGGCGGCCCGGUAAGUCUGGAGUGAAAGUCCUGUUUUUAAGAUGGGAAUUGCUUUGGAUACUGUCGGGCUUGAGUGCAGGAGAGGUAAGUGGAAUUCCCAGUGUCGCGGUGAAAUGCGUAGAGAUUGGGAGGAACACCAGUGGCGAAGGCGACUUACUGGACUGUAACUGACGCUGAGGCGCGAAAGUGUGGGGAGCAAACAGGAUUAGAUACCCUGGUAGUCCACACUGUAAACGAUGAAUGCUAGGUGUAGGGGGUAUCGACCCCUUCUGUGCCGCAGUCAACACAAUAAGCAUUCCGCCUGGGGAGUACGGCCGCAAGGUUGAAACUCAAAUGAAUUGGCGGGG